GGUACAAAGGGCGGGAUCGAACUCGCGAGCAUGAAAUUCACAGGCUAAUGCUCUACCACCUGAGCUAUUGAUAC
Ancylostoma duodenale is the source of this 74-nucleotide non-coding RNA. NCBI's taxonomy places the organism in Eukaryota, Metazoa, Nematoda, Chromadorea, Rhabditida, Ancylostomatidae. The record is from the annotation of a GenBank genome assembly.